AGCGAACGCUGGCGGCAGGCCUAACACAUGCAAGUCGAACGAAGUCUUCGGACUUAGUGGCGGACGGGUGAGUAACACGUGGGAACGUGCCUUUAGGUUCGGAAUAACUCAGGGAAACUUGUGCUAAUACCGAAUGUGCCCUUCGGGGGAAAGAUUUAUCGCCUUUAGAGCGGCCCGCGUCUGAUUAGCUAGUUGGUGAGGUAAAGGCUCACCAAGGCGACGACCAGUAGCUGGUCUGAGAGGAUGAUCAGCCACAUUGGGACUGAGACACGGCCCAAACUCCUACGGGAGGCAGCAGUGGGGAAUCUUGCGCUAUGGGCGAAAGCCUGACGCAGCCAUGCCGCGUGAAUGAUGAAGGUCUUAGGAUUGUAAAAUUCUUUCACCGGGGACGAUAAUGACGGUACCCGGAGAAGAAGCCCCGGCUAACUUCGUGCCAGCCGCCGCCGUAA
This 449-nucleotide ribosomal RNA is filed under the name uncultured bacterium. Its description in RNAcentral is "partial 16S ribosomal RNA". It matches the Rfam family "Bacterial small subunit ribosomal RNA", at positions 29 to 523 of the family's 1533-position model. The record is from RNAcentral.